This 409-nucleotide ribosomal RNA is filed under the name uncultured bacterium. Its description in RNAcentral is "bacterial SSU rRNA". It matches the Rfam family "Bacterial small subunit ribosomal RNA", at positions 355 to 773 of the family's 1533-position model. The record is from RNAcentral.
UGGGGAAUUGUUCGCAAUGGGGGCAACCCUGACGAAGCAAUGCCGCGUGGAUGAUGAAGUAUUUCGGUACGUAAAAUCCUUUCGACAGGGACGAAACCGCAAGGUUGACGGUACCUGUAGAAGAAGCCCCGGCUAACUCCGUGCCAGCAGCCGCGGUAAUACGGGGGGGGCAAGCGUUGUUCGGAAUUACUGGGCGUAAAGGGUGCGUAGGCGGCUUUCUAAGUUGGAUGUGAAAACUAUGGGCUCAACCCAUAGCCUGCAUCCAAAACUGGAGAGCUUGGGUUCUGGAGGGGAAAGCGGAAUUCCUGGUGUAGCGGUGAAAUGCGUAGAUAUCAGGAGGAACACCGGUGGCGAAGGCGGCUUUCUGGACAGAUACCGACGCUGAGGCACGAAAGCUAGGGGAGCAAAC